This 216-nucleotide long non-coding RNA is filed under the name Elaeis guineensis (African oil palm). Its description in RNAcentral is "long non-coding RNA (EGUI_LNC015045)". Lineage: Eukaryota; Viridiplantae; Streptophyta; Magnoliopsida; Arecales; Arecaceae. The record is from RNAcentral.
CCAAUAUUUGAUCCCUAAAGCUCUUUGAUUUUUUUUUCUAUUUUUUUCUUGCUUUUUCUUUGAUUUUUUUUCCUCCUAAAGUUUAUUCCCAGACUCUUUAUUUAUAGAUAAAUUUUUCAUAAUUUUUUUGAUAGAAAAAAGAGUCCUAAAACCCUUAGAAAUCGUAUAAAAAUCCUUAAGAAUUUUUCUGACCAUUGGAUCAAGCUUAGACCACCC